GCAAAUUCUGGGUGUCCAGGAAGAUGACAGCUGUUCUGCUGUAUGUAUAAAGCAUCCUUACCCCAGAGAGGGAGUUGGACCCUGAGCAAAGUCCACAUGGACAGCCAUCAGCCAUUGGUGACGGUCAAAGGUCAACCGGCCCAGUUCCAUGAGAGCUUACAUUCACAAACAUCACAACCAAUAAGGAACGAGGACAUUGCCUCUGGAGCUGGAGUGGGAAAAGUCUUCCAGAAGCUGCUUUUCAGACACCCGGCUCCCCCGCAGCACUGUCCUGAGGGCAGGGAGCAAAGCCACCACCAGGGUUUCCAGGAAGGUAGGCAGGGAAGCGCCUAAGAGCUCUGCAGCCUGUGCCCCAGCUCCCAGACGUAGCAACCGUGCAACCGAUGAAGUCUAAUAUUUAUCUAUCGUCCUGUCGGCCCCAAUAAAACACAGCACUCUUUAAAGUGCUCGCCGUAACGACA
This is a long non-coding RNA of Erinaceus europaeus (western European hedgehog), 461 nucleotides long. RefSeq lists it as uncharacterized. The transcript has 2 exons. The record is from RefSeq and is a predicted model, not a curated record. NCBI's taxonomy places the organism in Eukaryota, Metazoa, Chordata, Mammalia, Eulipotyphla, Erinaceidae.